This 440-nucleotide ribosomal RNA is filed under the name uncultured bacterium. RNAcentral describes it as "partial 16S ribosomal RNA". It matches the Rfam family "Bacterial small subunit ribosomal RNA", at positions 28 to 507 of the family's 1533-position model. The record is from RNAcentral.
GACGAACGCUGGCGGCGUGCCUAAUACAUGCAAGUCGAACGCGACACCUUCGGUUGCGGAGUGGCGAACGGCGGAGGAACACGUGGUGACCUGUCCGGAACUUGCGGACAACACCGCGAAAACGGUGCUAAUCCCGCAUACACUCUGAGGAGGAAAUCCUGAAGCCGCGCACGGGUUGCCCUGCGGCCAAGCUGGUUGUUGGUGUGGUACCGUCCUACCAAGCCAAUGACGGGUCGCUGGUCUGGGAGUUCGACCAGCCAGACUGGGACUGGGACACGGCACAGAUACCGACGGGAGGAAGCAGGAAGGAAGUUUAGGGAAUGGGAGCAAGACGGAGCGAGCAACGGCGCGGGAAGGAAGACGGCCUUCGGGAUGUAAAUUGCUUUUGUUAGGGAUGAUAAGAGACGGUACCUGGUGAAUAAGCCCCGGCUAACUACGUG